CAAAGAUUAAGCCAUGCAUGUGACUGCUGGCUGGAUC
RNAcentral lists this ribosomal RNA (37 nucleotides) under Blanchetiodendron blanchetii. RNAcentral's name for it is "partial 18S ribosomal RNA". Lineage: Eukaryota; Viridiplantae; Streptophyta; Magnoliopsida; Fabales; Fabaceae. The record is from RNAcentral.